This 513-nucleotide ribosomal RNA is filed under the name uncultured bacterium. RNAcentral's name for it is "bacterial SSU rRNA". It matches the Rfam family "Bacterial small subunit ribosomal RNA", at positions 15 to 518 of the family's 1533-position model. The record is from RNAcentral.
GAUCCUGGCUCAGGAUGAACGCUAGCUACAGGCUUAACACAUGCAAGUCGAGGGGCAGCGAGAAGGAAGCUUGCUUCUUGUCGGCGACCGGCGCACGGGUGAGUAACGCGUAUCCAACCUUCCCCUUAGUAGGGCAUAGCCCGUAGAAAUGCGGAUUAAUACCCUAUGUUGUUCGAUGCGGACAUCUAAGUUGAACCAAAGGUUUACCGCUAAGGGAUGGGGAUGCGUCCGAUUAGGCAGCAGGCGGGGUAACGGCCCACCUGGCCAACGAUCGGUAGGGGUUCUGAGAGGAAGGUCCCCCACAUUGGAACUGAGACACGGUCCAAACUCCUACGGGAGGCAGCAGUGAGGAAUAUUGGUCAAUGGGCGCGAGCCUGAACCAGCCAAGUAAGCGUGCAGGACGACGGCCCUAUGGGUUGUAAACUGCUUUUAUGCGGGGAUAAAGUGACGUACGUGUACGUUUUUGUAGGUACCGCAUGAAUAAGGACCGGCUAAUUCCGUGCCAGCCGCCGC